CCUAACACAUGCAAGUCGAACGGUAACAGGAAGAAGCUUGCUUCUUUGCUGACGAGUGGCGGACGGGUGAGUAAUGUCUGGGAAACUGCCUGAUGGAGGGGGAUAACUACUGGAAACGGUAGCUAAUACCGCAUAACGUCGCAAGACCAAAGAGGGGGACCUUCGGGCCUCUUGCCAUCGGAUGUGCCCAGAUGGGAUUAGCUAGUAGGUGGGGUAACGGCUCACCUAGGCGACGAUCCCUAGCUGGUCUGAGAGGAUGACCAGCCACACUGGAACUGAGACACGGUUCAGACUCCUACGGGAGGCAGCAGUGGGGAAUAUUGCACAAUGGGCGCAAGC
RNAcentral lists this ribosomal RNA (339 nucleotides) under uncultured bacterium. RNAcentral's name for it is "bacterial SSU rRNA". It matches the Rfam family "Bacterial small subunit ribosomal RNA", at positions 47 to 382 of the family's 1533-position model. The record is from RNAcentral.